Molecule: long non-coding RNA, 549 nt
Filed under: Elaeis guineensis (African oil palm)
Lineage: Eukaryota; Viridiplantae; Streptophyta; Magnoliopsida; Arecales; Arecaceae
Description: long non-coding RNA (EGUI_LNC020742)
Source: RNAcentral
AGCUGUGCAACUCUAAAUAUAUGUCCUGCAAACUAAGAAGCCCCAGCUCAGGUUUUUUGGGGGUAAAAUCUUCAUCAAUACUUAACUUUCAGACAAAAUUUAGCUUCUCAGUUGAAGUCAUAUUUCUUUAUUCUAGAAAACAGAAUAAAAUAUAUUAUUGACGAAUUAUUUAUUUACUUAUUUGUUUAUUUCUGCAAAAUUUUUGAUAUUUAGAAAUUAGGAUAGGAGGAAGCUUGGUUGAUUUUUUCUUCUUCUUUUUGGUAAUAGCGUGAGAUCGAAGAGCUCAAGAAAAGAAAGCUAACAGUUAAGUACAUCAAAAAAAACAAGAAAAAUUAAAACUGGAAUCAGCAAGUAGUAGCAAAGAUAAUUAAUUCAUGUGGAAUGGAAGAACAUCUAGAGUCUUCAUGGGAGUUAUGGCCUGCAAUUCAUUCUACUGCAGGAUUCCAUUAAUAAAAUACAUGAGCAGCCUUGAAGAAGCUUAGGGAUGAGAGAGAGAGAGUGCGAGUAUAUAUAUGUGUAUAGAUAUGUAUACACACACACACACACACA